Molecule: ribosomal RNA, 449 nt
Filed under: uncultured bacterium
Lineage: Bacteria
Description: partial 16S ribosomal RNA
Rfam family: Bacterial small subunit ribosomal RNA
Source: RNAcentral
AACGAACGCUGGCGGCAUGCCUAACACAUGCAAGUCGAACGAGACCUUCGGGUCUAGUGGCGCACGGGUGCGUAACGCGUGGGAAUCUGCCCUUGGGUUCGGAAUAACAGUUAGAAAUGACUGCUAAUACCGGAUGAUGUCUUCGGACCAAAGAUUUAUCGCCCAGGGAUGAGCCCGCGUAGGAUUAGCUAGUUGGUGAGGUAAAGGCUCACCAAGGCGACGAUCCUUAGCUGGUCUGAGAGGAUGAUCAGCCACACUGGGACUGAGACACGGCCCAGACUCCUACGGGAGGCAGCAGUGGGGAAUAUUGGACAAUGGGCGAAAGCCUGAUCCAGCAAUGCCGCGUGAGUGAUGAAGGCCUUAGGGUUGUAAAGCUCUUUUACCCGGGAUGAUAAUGACAGUACCGGGAGAAUAAGCCCCGGCUAACUCCGUGCCAGCCGCCGCCGUAA